AUGUGUGGACAUGAAAAUGAAACUCUGUUUCACUCACUGAUGGAGUGUGACCAUGCGGUAUGGUUCUGGGAGGUGGCAGAGCGUUUCUUUGACAUUCGAAUCCCAAGGCUACACCCGAUGACAUGGUCCAGGGAUCUGAUCGAUCAUGAGCUGUUUAAGCAAGAGGAUGCUGCUAUUAUGAUUACGGUGAUGUGGGCGGUGUGGCACUCAAGAAAUAGAUAUACACAUGGUGAACAAGUGUAUCAGCCGUCGCAAUCGAUGAUCAUCAUAGAAGAGAUAGUGUGAGCGCUGGAGUUCCCCGUUACUGGGAAGAACCAGCAUGUCUGUCCCCCUCGGUGGCUGCCACCAGAUGAGGGUUGGGUCAAGAUCAAUACGGAUGGAGCUACACACUCGGCAAAGAUGCGAGGAGGAACGGGUUUCGUAGCCCGUGCCAUGGCUUCUUUCUUAGAGCGGGAGGCUCAAGGUAUGAGGGGAUUUUUGAUCCAUUGA
This 489-nucleotide ribosomal RNA is filed under the name Triticum aestivum (bread wheat). RNAcentral describes it as "partial small subunit ribosomal RNA". The record is from RNAcentral. Lineage: Eukaryota; Viridiplantae; Streptophyta; Magnoliopsida; Poales; Poaceae.